AGAAAAAAAAACUUUUUUUCCCCUUUUUUAUUUUUUAUUAUUUUACCGCUGUUAGAUUAGACUUUUAUCCGAAGGAUAAACUAUUUCAAAAUAUUUAUCAGAUUUUUUAAAAUUUUAAUUUUAUUAUCUAAUAUCUUAAUUUUUAAUUUAUAUUAUUUGAGUCAGGCUACAGUACUUUUACGUCAAAAUUUUAGAUAAUUAUUACUUUAAUAAAUUUAUAGUUACAAGAGUUGCAGGAAGUAUAUUAACUAAAUCUAUAUAGAUGACGACGUAUUUAAAAUUUUGAAGUUAAAACAUUAUUGGCUAUUUUAAAUUCAGUAAAUUGAAAAGUUGAAUAAUAAAAAUAAAAUUUUGAAAUGUCAAAUAGCCAUUUCAAAAUGAUCUACAGUUCGAAUAAGUUUUAUACAUUUUUUACCUAAUCUAUGAAGUGCUUUUAAGUUUUGACUCUCAAAUCUUAAUUUAUUAUAAAAUCUGAUUAAUUUUUUAAAUUAUUAUGUAAAUAUGCAAAAGUUAUCUAAACUGCGGAUUAUUUUUAAUUUGGCUAACUAACCUUUCAAAAUUUUGAUUUUAUUAUCCAAUAUUUCAGUUUGUUUUAUUUGAAUUAGUUAACAAUAUUUUAACUUCAAAAUUUGAAUACAUAGUUUAUCUUUUCAAGUAUAGUUAGAUACAUCACGUAAUUUUUACAAUUAUGAAUUCAUUAAAGUAACUAACUAGUUUAAAUUUUAAAGUAAAAAUAUCAUUAACUAAC
This 748-nucleotide long non-coding RNA is filed under the name Ananas comosus (pineapple). RNAcentral describes it as "long non-coding RNA (ACOM_LNC025452)". Lineage: Eukaryota; Viridiplantae; Streptophyta; Magnoliopsida; Poales; Bromeliaceae. The record is from RNAcentral.